This 468-nucleotide ribosomal RNA is filed under the name Triticum aestivum (bread wheat). RNAcentral's name for it is "partial small subunit ribosomal RNA". Lineage: Eukaryota; Viridiplantae; Streptophyta; Magnoliopsida; Poales; Poaceae. The record is from RNAcentral.
AUGGACCCGGCGUCCUCCUCCUCGUCCGGCCGCUCGUCCGGCUCUCCCUCCCUCCUCCCCGUCAAGCCGGAGCCCCAGGAAGCGCCGAUCAGCCGGCGCACCCGCAGCUGCGGCGUCCGCAUCGCCGAGUCCUCCCCCACCUCUGCCCGGCUCGUCAGGCCGAAGGUGGAGUCCGGCCUCCCCGCGGAGUACGAGGCCAUAGCCCGGCGCGGCUUCUCUGAUGAGGCCGCCCUAAAGUGGGCGCGGGAUGACUACCUCCGCGACGAGAUGGUCCGGCAGCGCCGAGCCCUGCAGGAGAUAGCCGUCCGCCAGCGUGGGCGCGAGGACGAGAACGGCAUGGUGAUCCUCGACAGCGACAAGGACGAGGACGUCCCUAGACCGUCCAACCCGCCGCGCGUCGGCGACCCUGGGCAGGGGAGCAGCAGGGAUGGCGGCCGCGGAGGAGGCGACGCCGACGACUUUAGUUAA